Molecule: ribosomal RNA, 789 nt
Filed under: Sanguibacter sp. BA-84-09
Lineage: Bacteria; Bacillati; Actinomycetota; Actinomycetes; Micrococcales; Sanguibacteraceae
Description: bacterial SSU rRNA
Rfam family: Bacterial small subunit ribosomal RNA
Source: RNAcentral
AGUCGAACGGUGACGGAGGGGCUUGCUUCUCCUGAUCAGUGGCGAACGGGUGAGUAACACGUGAGUAACCUGCCCUUGACUCUGGGAUAACUCCGGGAAACCGGGGCUAAUACUGGAUACGAAGCGCCUCGGCAUCGGGUGCGCUUGGAAAGUUUUUCGGUCAAGGAUGGACUCGCGGCCUAUCAGCUUGUUGGCGGGGUAACGGCCCACCAAGGCGUCGACGGGUAGCCGGCCUGAGAGGGCGACCGGCCACACUGGGACUGAGACACGGCCCAGACUCCUACGGGAGGCAGCAGUGGGGAAUAUUGCACAAUGGGCGAAAGCCUGAUGCAGCGACGCCGCGUGAGGGAUGAAGGCCUUCGGGUUGUAAACCUCUUUCAGUAGGGAAGAAGCGAAAGUGACGGUACCUGCAGAAGAAGCGCCGGCUAACUACGUGCCAGCAGCCGCGGUAAUACGUAGGGCGCAAGCGUUGUCCGGAAUUAUUGGGCGUAAAGAGCUCGUAGGCGGUUUGUCGCGUCUGGUGUGAAAACUCAAGGCUCAACCUUGAGCUUGCAUCGGGUACGGGCAGACUAGAGUGCGGUAGGGGUGACUGGAAUUCCUGGUGUAGCGGUGGAAUGCGCAGAUAUCAGGAGGAACACCGAUGGCGAAGGCAGGUCUCUGGGCCGCAACUGACGCUGAGGAGCGAAAGCAUGGGGAGCGAACAGGAUUAGAUACCCUGGUAGUCCAUGCCGUAAACGUUGGGCACUAGGUGUGGGGCUCAUUCCACGAGUUCCGUGCCGCAGCAAACGC